UACGUAGGGUGCAAGCGUUGUCCGGAAUUAUUGGGCGUAAAGAGCUCGUAGGCGGUUUGUUGCGUCGGCUGUGAAAUCCCGAGGCUCAACCUCGGGUCUGCAGUCGAUACGAGCAAACUAGAGUGUUGCAGGGGAGACUGGAAUUCCUGGUGUAGCGGUGAAAAUGCGCAGAUAUCAGGAGGAAACACCGGUGGCGAAGGCGGGGUCUCUGGGCAACAACUGACGCUGAGGAGCGAAAAGCGUGGGGGAGCGAACAGG
RNAcentral lists this ribosomal RNA (258 nucleotides) under uncultured bacterium. Its description in RNAcentral is "partial 16S ribosomal RNA". It matches the Rfam family "Bacterial small subunit ribosomal RNA", at positions 524 to 776 of the family's 1533-position model. The record is from RNAcentral.